GUGCUUACUUCAGCAGCACAUGUGCUAAAAUUGAAAUGAUAGAGGGAAGAUUAGCAUGGUCUAUGUAAAAGGAUGACAUGCAAAUCCAUGAAGUGUUCCUUAUAAAA
Small nuclear RNA from Mustela putorius furo (domestic ferret), 107 nucleotides. The record is from Ensembl. Lineage: Eukaryota; Metazoa; Chordata; Mammalia; Carnivora; Mustelidae.